UACGUAGGGUGCAAGCGUUGUCCGGAAUUAUUGGGCGUAAAGAGCUCGUAGGCGGUCUGUCGCGUCGGCUGUGAAAUCCCGAGGCUCAACCUCGGGUCUGCAGUCGAUACGGGCAAACUUGAGUGUUGCAGGGGAGACUGGAAUUCCUGGUGUAGCGGUGAAAUGCGCAGAUAUCAGGAGGAACACCGGUGGCGAAGGCGGGUCUCUGGGCAACAACUGACGCUGAGGAGCGAAAGCGUGGGGAGCGAACCGG
RNAcentral lists this ribosomal RNA (253 nucleotides) under uncultured bacterium. Its description in RNAcentral is "partial 16S ribosomal RNA". It matches the Rfam family "Bacterial small subunit ribosomal RNA", at positions 524 to 776 of the family's 1533-position model. The record is from RNAcentral.